Molecule: long non-coding RNA, 426 nt
Filed under: Medicago truncatula (barrel medic)
Lineage: Eukaryota; Viridiplantae; Streptophyta; Magnoliopsida; Fabales; Fabaceae
Description: long non-coding RNA (MTRU_LNC006055)
Source: RNAcentral
ACCUCCGCGGCGACUCCGAAGACCCAAUCUUUCAAAACCUCACUCACUCCGGUGACAUGACCGGAGAAAUCUCGCCGGAGGUUUGUAAACUCGAUGAACUUACCACUCUUGUUGUUGCUGAUUGGAAAUCCAUAUCUGGUGAGAUACCUUCCUGCAUUACCUCUCUUUCUUCGCUAAGAAUUCUUGACCUCACCGGAAACAAAAUCUCCGGCAACAUUCCCGGCAAUAUUGGAAAGCUUCAGCAUCUUACUGUUUUGAAUCUUGCUGAUAAUGCAAUCUCCGGUGAGAUUCCGAUGUCGAUUGUGAGAAUCUCUGGUCUCAUGCAUCUUGACCUCGCCGGAAACCAAAUCUCCGGUGAGUUACCUUCCGAUAUAGGAAAACUCCGAAGACUGAGCCGCGCGUUAUUUAGCCGAAACCAACUCACCG